UAACUUCUAAUGGUGAUGAAAAAACCCCUCAAAAGAGCAACAAAUAGGAUAACAAAACAAAAUAAAGAAAAGAUACAAAAUAAAACAAAGUUGUAAGCACUAUAAAUCCGCUCUAGAAGAUCUAAGAACUGAUGACAUUAAUUAACGAUACAAAAUGAAUAUAUAAAUUUAAUAAAAUAUCAAAUAAAAAGUAAUACCAUGAAAACAUAUAUUCUUUACUGUGAUAAAUCAAGCCUUGUUGCCAAUAAGGAUGAACAUAAAGAAAGGUGAUGGCUACCAAAAAGGAUAUGAUAAAAGUUACUGAAAAACAUACUAAGAAAGCCCCACGAUCAAUUUCAUACCAUUUCCCACUUACUUCAUGUCGUGACUCCACUUGUGACGAAGGUGAUUCAACAUUAUUA
This 401-nucleotide unclassified non-coding RNA is filed under the name Hevea brasiliensis (rubber tree). Lineage: Eukaryota; Viridiplantae; Streptophyta; Magnoliopsida; Malpighiales; Euphorbiaceae. The record is from RNAcentral.